GUAAUGGCAGGUCAGCAUACUGCCGUGAAUACGUUCCCGGGCCUUGUACACACCGCCCGUCACACCAUGAGAGUUGGGAAUACCCGAAGCCUGUGAGCCAACAAACGAGGCAGCAGUCGAAGGUAGAAUCAAUGAUUGGGGUGAAGUCGUAACAAGGUAAC
This 161-nucleotide ribosomal RNA is filed under the name uncultured bacterium. RNAcentral's name for it is "partial 16S ribosomal RNA". It matches the Rfam family "Bacterial small subunit ribosomal RNA", at positions 1338 to 1500 of the family's 1533-position model. The record is from RNAcentral.